AAUCUUCGGCAAUGGGCGAAAGCCUGACCGAGCGACGCCGCGUGGAGGAUGAAGGCCUUCGGGUCGUAAACUCCUAAAAGAGGGACGAUAGUGACGGUGCCUCUUGAAAAGCAACGGCUAACUCCGUGUCAGCAGCCGCGGUAAUACGUGGGGGGCAAGCGUUAUCCGGAAUCACUGUGCGUAAAGGGCUCGGAGGCGGUCGGUUAAGUCCGAUGUUAAAGGCUGGGGCUCAACCCCAGUAAAGCGUUGGAUACUGGCAGGCUAGACGGUUGGAGAGGCGAGUGGAAUUACCAGUGUAGCGGUGAAAUGCGUAGAUACUGGUAGGAACACCCAUGGCGAAGGCAGCUCGCUGGACAACCCGUGACGCUGAGGCGCGAAAGUGUGGGGAGCAAACCGG
RNAcentral lists this ribosomal RNA (397 nucleotides) under uncultured bacterium. RNAcentral describes it as "partial 16S ribosomal RNA". It matches the Rfam family "Bacterial small subunit ribosomal RNA", at positions 360 to 776 of the family's 1533-position model. The record is from RNAcentral.